Maylandia zebra (zebra mbuna) is the source of this 785-nucleotide non-coding RNA. NCBI's taxonomy places the organism in Eukaryota, Metazoa, Chordata, Actinopteri, Cichliformes, Cichlidae. The record is from RefSeq and is a predicted model, not a curated record.
ACGGAUCACUGCUUCCUAUAAGAGUUGGUUUUCUCUGUGUGUGUAGCCACUCUGUGCCUGGUGGACUUGGCUGGCAGUGAGCGAAUGGUGAAGAGCCAGUCUCAGGGUGACCGUUUCAAAGAGAUGACCGCCAUCAACAGCUCACUGUCCAACCUGGGCGUCGUUAUCGCCGCUCUGGCCAAAAAGGAGACUUACGUAGCUUACAGGAACUCGAAGCUCACGUACCUCCUUCAGGGAUGUUUGGGGGGAAACGGCAAAACCUUGAUGUUUGUUAACAUUGCUCCGGAGCCCGACAGCUUUGGGGAAACUCUGAACUCAUUGAGGUUUGCCAGCAAGGUCAGUGCAGUCUUGUUUCCAGUGUUCAUUGGACAGAGUACAUUAAUGAUGUCCUUACAUCAGCUGUUUAUGGUGAACGACUGCGUCAUCAGGACAGCGACUGCCAACAAAAAGUAGAAAUUAUUAAAAAAAAACCCUGAGUUUUCUACUUUUUAGGUUCAUCUCAGGUUUCCACGCUGAGUUGGUCAUGACAGUUGCCAUGUGUGAUGGCAUGCCACACAUGGGCUGGGAGACCUGAAGUACUACUGACAGCCUAAUUGGAUUGCACCACAUGCAGGUGAACGACUGCGUCAUCAGGACAACAAAGUAGAAAUUAUUAAAAGAGUAACUUUUAUAUAUGUGCGUUUAAAGCAGGGUGUCAGGUUUUUUUGUUUUUUUUCCACAUAUGUUGGAUUAUGUUUCUAUAUAUAUACUUUGUAAAGGGUAUUUUAAAUGAAUGAAAAUGAAUA